UUAGAGUUAGUAAGGGAGUGUGUGUGUCUCUAUUGUAGUCACAUAUAGUGGCUCUAGAGUGAAUCCCCAUGUACUUAUGUAUAUGUUAGUGCAUGCUUGUCUAAGAGCUUUCCACCAAGUCGGUCAGCCCCCUUCCCCUCUUCCUCCCCUGCACUGUAUUGGAGGUGGAGAGGGACAGCUAUCUAAUCUUGGCUUUGUGCACUUGGCUCUUUCUGUACUCCGCCUGUCAGCUCUUUCCCUCUCUGAUCUCUUGGUGCAAGUCCCAAGGCCGUUUGGUGCCUUUCUUUAUCUGGCUUUCCCCCCUCUCUACCCUCAUGCUUGACCUACUUCCCAGGAAAAUUUCUCUAGUACUUUUAACUUCUUCUACCCAGGAUUGGCCAGGAUUGGCCAGAAGACCUAAUGAGGCCCCUAUUCUAUUCUUUUCCAUUUACAGACCCCUGCCCCUACUCUGUGUGUCAAGAGGAAGACUACAGAAACAAAUUAGCUCAAGGCUAGAAGGAGAGGCAAGACCCACACAUGACUAUCUGUAAGGUAGAAAGUGCUAAGUACAAUAAAUGUAAAGACAAAUUGCCAAGGGAGGAAUGUGUAAGGAGAAAUUAUUUCCUGAUGGGAAGAGUUUUUGAAAACUUAUGAAGAAGUGGCAUGUGAGCUGAAGUUGAAAGGGUGAGUAGGACUUGAAACAUGAAACAGAGGAAGGAUGUCCAUGGUGGAGGAAGCAAAGGUAGGAGGCUCUGUGGGGGAGCCUUGAGGAGGAUCCAAAGGCUGGAGAGAAAGGCACAGGCAAUGGAUUGGUAGAGACAGGUGCAUGGAGUGGAUUGGUAAGUAGGUAGGAAACCGGCUGGCUUUGAAUGUCAAGCCGAAGAAUGGAGCUUGUUUUUGAUUUGCAAGGCAUGAAGUCUUUAAGGGUAGCUGAGCCUAGAUAUGAUGCACAAUUUUGCAUAUAUGUGUAUUUUUCCUGGAGAAGAGGCUAGAAGUUUUAUUGUAUGGGACCAAACUGUCCUAUUAUUGGAGGCACCAGUGAAUGUGUGUAAGGUUAGGGCACUGUAAGUUGGAGGUAUAUUGGCUCUCUGUGCCUCAAAGGUCUUGGGUUGGAGUGGUAGUCAGCAAACUAGGAAAAUGUGCAUGAAUUUUCAAGAAAGAACAGACAAGAGAUGACUAAUGGUAAAUGUAUUCUUUUAUGUGCAAGAGAUAAAACAUGACAAGUCAUUUCCAUCUGAAAAUGUGGAAACAUUACGGCAGAAGUAACCAGUAAAAAGCCUCUUUGGUGUGAAAUCUGUUGAGAGAGAACCAUUUCUGAGACUUCUGGGGAAGGUGGCAUUUCUUGAGCCGAUGUGAGCGCGUCAUUCAGCCACCGAAUAUGCAACUGGCAGUGUCAUUGUGCCUUGGAGCUGGACUGGAGGGGUCAAGGCAGGCUUCUCAAGGGAGUUGAGGUGAUACUAUCUACAUAACUUUUGUUUGGAGCUUUUAUUCUUCUCCAUUGUAUGUGACAGUAAGAUCCCCCUUCUGAUUAAUGACUCUUUGUGAACAUCAUUUCCAUCAAGAGCUGGACUGCUGUUUGCCUCCCUUAGUACAGAAUGUUCGGUUUACUUCUAGUAUCUUGUUUUUUGAACUGUGGUGUAGUUAGCAAGUCAGAGUUGGGGGGAGGAGCGAAGAGGAGAGUAGAGAGAGAGAAGGAAAGAGGAGAGAGAGGAAGAAGAAAAAGAAAAAGAAGGAGAGGGGAAGGGAGGAGAAAGAAGAGAGAAGAAGAGAGAGAUUUGUCUGGUUACCAGGAAUUGAGAUCAGAGUGGGUAAGAGCUUGAGCCCUGGCAUCAGAUGCUUUGCGGGUAAACCCAGGCCCUGCCAUUUAUAGCCAUAAAUGUUCAGAGUCACCUCCCCCUCUGCCCUGUAGUUUCUUCAUCCAUAAAAGGGAGCUUUUCUUUUUGGUUUUUUUAAAUCUGCAAAGCAAUGAGAAAUUCUUAAUUUGGAGGGAGGUAAAAUAUCUCCUGUUCUUAAGAGAAGACUUGUCAUGGGAAAUGUCCAAUCUGAAUGUAUUUGAAUAAAUUGAACAAUAUAUGUAA
Non-coding RNA from Heterocephalus glaber (naked mole-rat), 2057 nucleotides. Lineage: Eukaryota; Metazoa; Chordata; Mammalia; Rodentia; Bathyergidae. The record is from RefSeq and is a predicted model, not a curated record.